GCAACCCUGACGGAGCAAUACCGCGUGAGGGAGGAAGGCCUUUGGGUUGUAAACCUCUUUUCUUAAGGAAGAAGCUCUGACGGUACUUAAGGAAUCAGCAUCGGCUAACUCCGUGCCAGCAGCCGCGGUAAUACGGAGGAUGCAAGCGUUAUCCGGAAUUAUUGGGCGUAAAGCGUCCGCAGGCGGCAUUAUAAGUCUGCUGUCAAAGACCGCAGCUCAACUGCGGAGAGGCAGUGGAAACUGUAAAGCUAGAGUACGGUAGGGGUAGAGGGAAUUCCCAGUGUAGCGGUGAAAUGCGUAGAGAUUGGGAAGAACACCAGUGGCGAAAGCGCUCUACUGGGCCGUAACUGACGCUCAGGGACGAAAGCUAGGGGAGCG
Molecule: ribosomal RNA, 378 nt
Filed under: uncultured cyanobacterium
Lineage: Bacteria; Bacillati; Cyanobacteriota
Description: bacterial SSU rRNA
Rfam family: Bacterial small subunit ribosomal RNA
Source: RNAcentral